This 350-nucleotide ribosomal RNA is filed under the name uncultured bacterium. RNAcentral describes it as "bacterial SSU rRNA". It matches the Rfam family "Bacterial small subunit ribosomal RNA", at positions 355 to 697 of the family's 1533-position model. The record is from RNAcentral.
UAGGGAAUCUUCCACAAUGGACGAAAGUCUGAUGGAGCAACGCCGCGUGAGCGAUGAAGGCCUUCGGGUCGUAAAGCUCUGUUGUUAGGGAAGAACAUGUACCGGAGUAACUGCCGGUACCUUGACGGUACCUAACCAGAAAGCCACGGCUAACUACGUGCCAGCAGCCGCGGUAAUACGUAGGUGGCAAGCGUUGUCCGGAAUUAUUGGGCGUAAAGCGAGCGCAGGCGGUCCUUUAAGUCUGAUGUGAAAGCCCACGGCCCAACCGUGGAGGGUCAUUGGAAACUGGGGGACUUGAGUACAGAAGAGGAAAGCGGAAUUCCACGUGUAGCGGUGAAAUGCGUAGAGAU